GGGUCAGUAGGUUGGUCGUGCCACCGGUACGUACUGGUCUCACUGAUUUCUCCUUCCUGAAGAACCGUAAUGCCAUUAAUUUGGUGUUGCGGGGAAACAGGACUGUUACUUUGAAAAAAUUAGAGUGUUUAAAGCAAGCUGACGCUUGAAUACAUUGGCAUGGAAUAAUGAAAUAGGACGAUCGAUCCUAUUUUGUUGGUUUCUAGGAUUGACGUA
Molecule: ribosomal RNA, 216 nt
Filed under: Glomeromycotina sp.
Lineage: Eukaryota; Fungi; Glomeromycota
Description: partial small subunit ribosomal RNA
Rfam family: Eukaryotic small subunit ribosomal RNA (bases 40-216)
Source: RNAcentral